RNAcentral lists this ribosomal RNA (378 nucleotides) under uncultured archaeon. RNAcentral's name for it is "bacterial SSU rRNA". It matches the Rfam family "Archaeal small subunit ribosomal RNA", at positions 691 to 1068 of the family's 1478-position model. The record is from RNAcentral.
CCGACGGUGAGAGGCGAAAGCUGGGGGAGCAAACCGGAUUAGAUACCCGGGUAGUCCCAGCUGUAAACGAUGCGCGUUAGGUGUAUCAGUGACCACGAGUCACUGAGGUGCCGAAGAGAAAUCGUGAAACGUGCCGCCUGGGAAGUACGGUCGCAAGGCUGAAACUUAAAGGAAUUGGCGGGGGAGCACCACAACAGGUGGAGCCUGCGGUUUAAUCGGACUCAACGCCGGAAAUCUCACCAGAUAAGACAGCUGAAUGAUAGUCGGGCUGAAGACUCUACUUGACUAGCUGAGAGGAGGUGCAUGGCCGUCGUCAGUUCGUACUGUGAAGCAUCCUGUUAAGUCAGGCAACGAGCGAGACCCACGCCAACAGUUGCU